AUGGAGAAGGUGGCCAAGGCUAGCAAGGACGCUGGGGCUGGGGUGGCCAGGGUCAGCUUCGGGGAGAACUUCUCGCCGGCGCGGGCCAAGGGGUUCCAUUUCGUGAUGGUGGCCGUGUUCGACAGCGUGGAGGAGCUGGACACUGUGCAGGCGGACGGCAAGGUGGAGGAGGCCAAGGCUGCGCUCAGGCCCAUGCUUGACGAGGUCAUGGUGUUGGACUUCGUCGUCGACGCUGCGGCAGCAGCGGCUACCCUCUGA
RNAcentral lists this ribosomal RNA (258 nucleotides) under Triticum aestivum (bread wheat). Its description in RNAcentral is "partial small subunit ribosomal RNA". The record is from RNAcentral. Lineage: Eukaryota; Viridiplantae; Streptophyta; Magnoliopsida; Poales; Poaceae.